Molecule: long non-coding RNA, 1029 nt
Organism: Gasterosteus aculeatus aculeatus (three-spined stickleback)
Lineage: Eukaryota; Metazoa; Chordata; Actinopteri; Perciformes; Gasterosteidae
Source: Ensembl
UAACAAUAACCUUGUAUGUGAUUGGAGGACCCUUAGACUCCUCGUCCAAUCACGUGUGAGGUCAUAGGCAUGACUGAUACAGCAGUACUUGCAAGACGAGCAUACAAACAGUGUGUUACUAUAUUCAGAAGAACUGUAUCUCCAGUUCCUUUGUUUGGUUUUUGCUGCUUUGUGAAUAAUGGCUGGACGACGUCUCGCGUUCAACUGGCCUUCAACUCCUCUCCGCGGUCACCAACUUUCGGCCAGUCCGCAGACAGACGUGAAGAAGCUGCUGAAAGCUCUCAGUGGAUCGUCUCGUCAACUCCAACAACAAACUGCCGAUAUCAACGAGCGGUUCGCUCCACUGGAGCGUUCGGGACUCUGCGGGUUUCUGUCCAUAGAGGAGAGGAACCGACUCAAAGAAGAGGAGACGGGCGCACGAUCCCAAGAUAGCGGAAGCGGUGCGCCGUCUUCACAACUCCGAGACGAAUUACAGGCGCUACGAACCGGAGCAAGGACUAAUCUCGCCUCAUAAUGAGGCGGUGACCUCGUAUUUGCUCCGGGAAAAGUCCAGAUUUAGACGACGUCAUUGUGUCUCCCUGUGAGACGUAUUGUGAGACCGGACGCAGGAGCUUCAGGUUCAGCCGGAACACUCAUUGCGGGCGGAAGCUGCGAAGGAUUCAGCGCGGAGUCAAGCGAGAAGAAAGAGGCUGCUGGAAUCGAGACAAAGUGUGCUGGCUGAUGACGAGGUGGAACUCUGGAAAUCCGCCACCGUAGAGCUCAUGUCGGACGAAGAGGAUGGCGUUGUUGGCGGGGUCUCGGGGUGGAUUGUACGGUCGCCGCCAUUGCGUAGUCAGUCCCGGUUAGAGGCGACUCAGAAAUACCGAGCAACACACACUAGGCGCCUGCACAACAGACCUGCCUCGGAAAACACGCCGCCAGUGACGGUUUACAACCCCGAGGAGGCAAACGGACAGUUUACUGAGCUGUAUUUUUUUAAACCGUCGUUACCCAAGUGUGGGUAGGUCCUCACUUUGGAUAUAGUUGUUG